Non-coding RNA from Megaselia scalaris, 46 nucleotides. Lineage: Eukaryota; Metazoa; Arthropoda; Insecta; Diptera; Phoridae. The record is from Rfam.
CAACCGGUUCUUUUCAGAACCACAAAGUAUCUCGGAAAGAAGUAUU